GGGCUACGUAGCAACCAAGGUAUUUUCAAAACACACCUGCAUCAUUUCUAACAUGGACAAGAGGUUUUGGUCUGAUAAACCCUUUCCUGCACCACGUCAAGCACACCAGGGACUGAGUUCUCAGCAACUUCCACCCAGAAUGAACCGCUUCAUUAUUUCAAGGAACAGACUCCAAAGCUUGCGCCCGUACGGAAAACGCAUUCAAGCUCUGUGCCGAGGAAUUCCUUCUUACUUUGCUUACCCUACUGCUGGAUCAAACUUCUUAAGGCAAGAUGUUGCCUGUUUGAAAGUUAAGAUUAAGGAACUGCCUGUCUAUUACUGUGAUUAAUUAUUCCGGAUGAAGUACCGAGGAAGAAAAUUCCCAGACCUGUGGACCCACAAGCAAGGGUUUUUCUCCUCCACAAUCUUCUCUUGAUGGCAUUUUCAGUCACUUCUCUGUCCUUUCUUCUGCUCUGUCUGGAGAUGAUUAUCUCUCAGUAAAAUUUACCAUCAAUCUCA
Calidris pugnax (ruff) is the source of this 498-nucleotide long non-coding RNA. RefSeq lists it as uncharacterized. The transcript has 3 exons. The record is from RefSeq and is a predicted model, not a curated record. NCBI's taxonomy places the organism in Eukaryota, Metazoa, Chordata, Aves, Charadriiformes, Scolopacidae.